CUGGCUCAUGAUGAACGCUAGCGGCAGGCUUACACAUGCAAGUCGAGGGGUAACGAUGGUGCUUGCACCAGGCGACGACCGGCGGACGGGUGAGUAACACGUAUGCAAUUUGCCUUUAACUGGAGGAUAGCUUCGGGAAACCGUAAUUAAUACUCCAUAGUAUUCAAAAGACGCAUGUUUUUUGAAUUAAAGCUCCGGCGGUUAAAGAUAAGCAUGCGGGACAUUAGCUAGUUGGUAAGGUAACGGCUUACCAAGGCGACGAUGUCUAGGGGGUUUGAGAGGAUGAUCCCCCACACUGGUACUGAGACACGGACCAGACUCCUACGGGAGGCAGCAGUGAGGAAUAUUGGGCAAUGGGCGCAAGCCUGACCCAGCCAUGCCGCGUGCAGGAUGAAGGUCCUAUGGAUCGUAAACUGCUUUUGUAUGGGAAGAACUUCCCGCAUUCGUGCGGGAUUGACGGUACUAUACGAAUAAGGACCGGCUAACUCCGUGCCAGCAGCCGCGGUAAUACGGAGGGUCCAAGCGUUAUCCGGAUUCACUGGGUUUAAAGGGUGCGUAGGUGGAACGAUAAGUCGAUGGUGAAAGCCUACAGCUUAACUGUAGAAUUGCCAUUGAUACUGUUGUUCUUGAGUAUAGUCGGGGGAAGUGGAAUGCGUAAUGUAGCGGUGAAAUGCAUAGAUAUUACGCAGAACACCGAUCGCGAAAGCAGCUUCCUAGGCUAUUACUGACACUGAGGCACGAAAGCGUGGGGAGCGAACAGGAUUAGAUACCCUGGUAGUCCACGCCGUAAACGAUGCUCACUCGCUGUUGGCGAUAUAUUGUCAGCAGUUAAGCUAAAGCAUUAAGUGAGCCACCUGGGAAGUACGUCCGCAAGGAUGAAACUCAAAGGAAUUGACGGGGGCCCGGACAACCGGUGGAACAUGUGGGUUCAAUUCGAUGAUACGCGAGAAACCUUUACCUGG
Molecule: ribosomal RNA, 962 nt
Filed under: uncultured organism
Description: bacterial SSU rRNA
Rfam family: Bacterial small subunit ribosomal RNA
Source: RNAcentral